UACAGAGGGUGCAAGCGUUGUUCGGAAUUAUUGGGCGUAAGGCGCGUGCAGGCGGCAAAGCAUGUCGGGUGUGAAAGCCCUCGGCUCAACCGAGGAAGAGCGCCCGAAACUACUUCGCUUGAGUACCGGAGAGGAUGGCGGAAUUCCCGGUGUAGAGGUGAAAUUCGUAGAUAUCGGGAGGAACACCAGUGGCGAAGGCGGCCAUCUGGACGGAUACUGACGCUGAGACGCGAAAGCGUGGGUAGCAAACAGGGAUUAGACACCCUGGUAGUCCACGCUGUAAACGAUGGGCACUAGGUGUCGCGGGUGUUGACCCCUGCGGUGCCGUCGCUAACGCAUUAAGUGCCCCCGCCUGGGAAGUACGGCCGCAAGGCUAAAACU
Molecule: ribosomal RNA, 381 nt
Filed under: uncultured bacterium
Lineage: Bacteria
Description: bacterial SSU rRNA
Rfam family: Bacterial small subunit ribosomal RNA
Source: RNAcentral